CGGGGCGUAGCGCAGCCCGGUAGCGCGCCUGCUUUGGGAGCAGGAUGUCGGAGGUUCAAAUCCUCUCGCCCCGACCA
Molecule: transfer RNA, 77 nt
Filed under: Nitrospira moscoviensis
Lineage: Bacteria; Pseudomonadati; Nitrospirota; Nitrospiria; Nitrospirales; Nitrospiraceae
Also listed under: 55 other names
Description: tRNA-Pro
Rfam family: tRNA
About the family: Transfer RNA (tRNA) molecules are approximately 80 nucleotides in length. Their secondary structure includes four short double-helical elements and three loops (D, anti-codon, and T loops).
Source: RNAcentral